GAAAUUUAAUUAUAAACCAGACCGUCUCCUCAUGGUCAAUUCGGUGUUCGCUUUUGAAUACUUCAAGACUAUGUAGGGAAUUUUUGGAAUACCUUU
RNAcentral lists this unclassified non-coding RNA (96 nucleotides) under Saccharomyces cerevisiae (brewer's yeast). RNAcentral's name for it is "strain UOA_M2 chromosome 5 sequence from Saccharomyces cerevisiae (PDB 5GAO, chain V)". The record is from RNAcentral. Lineage: Eukaryota; Fungi; Ascomycota; Saccharomycetes; Saccharomycetales; Saccharomycetaceae.